UGGAAUGUUAACUCCAAGAAAAAAGGAAUUUUCUUCUUUAGUUCAUUGAUGUAUCCUCAGUUCCUUGAUCGAUGCCUGGCAUGUUCAUCCCUUGGAGGGAGGCCUUGUCACUGUCCCCCUUUGCACCGAGGAGAAAAACAGAGGCUUCUAGAAGCUGCAUAUGGACACCCUACACACACACCCAAUAGUAGAGUCCAGAAGCUUAGCUGGCCUCCAUGCAACAACUGGCUGUGUUCUCCCUUCUAGUCGAAGAGGACUGAAUAAAGGAGGAAGGCCAACGCCAGACCUAUAAGAGAUGCGGACCGAGCUCCAAAGUGAAG
Molecule: long non-coding RNA, 320 nt
Organism: Balaenoptera musculus (blue whale)
Lineage: Eukaryota; Metazoa; Chordata; Mammalia; Artiodactyla; Balaenopteridae
Exons: 3
Source: RefSeq, a predicted model, not a curated record